CACAAACUUUUAAAAUAUGAAAUAUAGUUUUUAUAAAAAAAUUUUACCUACUUUGAGAUUUUGUAUAACUUGAAAAUAUUAUUUUCUAAUGAUUUUCGGACUGUAUCCUACAGCUGCCAUAUAACUGUACGCUCGAAAAUGAUGACCCCAUAACGAUGAAAUAAUGACCCCAUAAAAAGUUGGAAUUUCCUACAGAUUAUAUUUUUGGUCAAUAAAUUCGAUCUUCCAAACAUCAUCAGAAUUAGCCGACCAAUAUUAUAGCUGCUAUAUCGAAAA
Non-coding RNA from Drosophila bipectinata, 276 nucleotides. The record is from RefSeq and is a predicted model, not a curated record. NCBI's taxonomy places the organism in Eukaryota, Metazoa, Arthropoda, Insecta, Diptera, Drosophilidae.